GGGCUCACACAAGCGGUGGAGCAUGUGGCUCAAUUCGAAGCAACGCGAAGAACCUUAUCCUGGACUUGACAUGGUAGAAGUAGGACCCAGAAAUGGUUACGACCGGUAUCCAAUCCGGAACUAUCACAGGUGCUGCAUGGCUGUCGUCAGCUCGUGCUGUGAAGUGUCGGGUUAAGUCCCAUAACGAGCGAAACCCUUAUCGUUAGUUGCCAGCGGGUCAAGCCGGGCACUCUAACGAGACUGCCGGUGUUAAACCGGAGGAAGGCGGGGAUGACGUCAAGUCCUCAUGGCCUUUAUGUCCAGGGCUGCACACGUGCUACAAUGCCGAUGACAAACCGAAGCAAGACCGUAAGGUGGAGCAAAUCGGAGAAAAAUCGGCCCAGUUCAGAUUGAGGGCUGCAACUCGCCCUCAUGAAGUUGGAAUCGCUAGUAAUCGCGGAUCAGCUACGCCGCGGUGAAUGUGUUCCUGAGCCUU
Molecule: ribosomal RNA, 475 nt
Filed under: uncultured bacterium
Lineage: Bacteria
Description: bacterial SSU rRNA
Rfam family: Bacterial small subunit ribosomal RNA
Source: RNAcentral